UCGCCUGUUUAUCAAAAACAUGUCCUUGUGAAGUUGUACAAGGUCUAGCCUGCCCACUGAGUUAUUAAAGGGCCGCGGUAUUCUUGACCGUGCGAAGGUAGCAUAAUCACUAGUCUCUUAAUUGGGGGCUCGUAUGAAUGGUUGGACGAAAAAUAUACUGUCUCAAGUAAAAAGUUUGAAUUUAACUUUUAGGUGAAAAGGCCUAAAUGGGUUAAAAAGACGAUAAGACCCUAUAAAUCUUUACACUUUAUUUUGUAUUUUUAGGGUUAUUGCGUGCUAGGGAUUGUACAGAGGGGGUGUUGUGUUGGGGCAACGACGAUAUAAUAAGAUUAGCUGUUGGUGAGGCUGGACAAAUAUAUUUGUGAGAUUAGAGGAUCCUUUUUAGAGAUUUAAAGAUUAAGUUACUUUAGGGAUAACAGCGUUAUUUUUUCUGAGAGUUCUUAUCGAAGAAAAAGAUUGCGACCUCGAUGUUGAAUUAAAGAUCUUUAUUGAUGUAGCAGUUAAAUAAGAGAGUCUGUUCGAC
RNAcentral lists this ribosomal RNA (523 nucleotides) under Clibanarius padavensis. Its description in RNAcentral is "partial large subunit ribosomal RNA". It matches the Rfam family "Bacterial large subunit ribosomal RNA", at positions 1796 to 2585 of the family's 2925-position model. The record is from RNAcentral. Lineage: Eukaryota; Metazoa; Arthropoda; Malacostraca; Decapoda; Diogenidae.